GAGUUUGAUCCUGGCUCAGAACGAACGCUGGCGGCAUGCCUAAUACAUGCAAGUCGAACAAGAUCUUCGGAUCUAGUGGCGCACGGGUGCGUAACCCGUGGGAAUCUGCCCUUGGGUUCGGAAUAACUUCUGGAAACGGAAGCUAAUACCGGAUGAUGACGUAAGUCCAAAGAUUUAUCGCCCAAGGAUGAGCCCGCGUAGGAUUAGCUAGUUGGUGAGGUAAAGGCUCACCAAGGCGACGAUCCUUAGCUGGUCUGAGAGGAUGAUCAGCCACACUGGGACUGAGACACGGCCCAGACUCCUACGGGAGGCAGCAGUAGGGAAUAUUGGACAAUGGGCGAAAGCCUGAUCCAGCAAUGCCGCGUGAGUGAUGAAGGCCUUAGGGUUGUAAAGCUCUUUUACCCGGGAUGAUAAUGACAGUACCGGGAGAAUAAGCUCCGGCUAACUCCGUGCCAGCAGCCGCGGUAAUACGGAGGGAGCUAGCGUUGUUCGGAAUUACUGGGCGUAAAGCGCACGUAGGCGGCUAUUCAAGUCAGAGGUAAAAGCCCGGGGCUCAACCCCGGAACUGCCUUUGAAACUAGAUAGCU
RNAcentral lists this ribosomal RNA (587 nucleotides) under Sphingomonas sp. D11. RNAcentral describes it as "bacterial SSU rRNA". It matches the Rfam family "Bacterial small subunit ribosomal RNA", at positions 9 to 642 of the family's 1533-position model. The record is from RNAcentral. Lineage: Bacteria; Pseudomonadati; Pseudomonadota; Alphaproteobacteria; Sphingomonadales; Sphingomonadaceae.